CCUACGGGAGGCAGCAGUGGGGAAUAUUGGACAAUGGGCGAAAGCCUGAUCCAGCAAUGCCGCGUGAGUGAUGAAGGCCUUAGGGUUGUAAAGCUCUUUUACCAGGGAUGAUAAUGACAGUACCUGGAGAAUAAGCUCCGGCUAACUCCGUGCCAGCAGCCGCGGUAAUACGGAGGGAGCUAGCGUUGUUCGGAAUUACUGGGCGUAAAGCGUACGUAGGCGGUUAUUCAAGUCAGAGGUGAAAGCCUGGAGCUCAACUCCAGAACUGCCUUUGAAACUAGAUAGCUAGAAUCUUGGAGAGGUGAGUGGAAUUCCGAGUGUAGAGGUGAAAUUCGUAGAUAUUCGGAAGAACACCAGUGGCGAAGGCGACUCACUGGACAAGUAUUGACGCUGAGGUACGAAAGCGUGGGGAGCAAACAGGAUUAGAUACCCUGGUAGUCCACGCCGUAAACGAUGAUAACUAGCUGUUCGGGCUCUACGAGCUUGAGUGGCGCAGCUACGACAUUAAGUUAUUCCGUCCGUCGGGGAGGUACGGUCGGCGAAGAAUUAAAACGUUAAAAGGUAAGUUAGUACGGCGUGAGACGUACGCCGACGGACGACGACGAGGGAGGUUAGG
Molecule: ribosomal RNA, 616 nt
Filed under: uncultured bacterium
Lineage: Bacteria
Description: bacterial SSU rRNA
Rfam family: Bacterial small subunit ribosomal RNA (bases 1-519)
Source: RNAcentral